Molecule: ribosomal RNA, 404 nt
Filed under: Fusobacteriota bacterium
Lineage: Bacteria; Fusobacteriati; Fusobacteriota
Description: Fusobacteria bacterium partial 16S ribosomal RNA
Rfam family: Bacterial small subunit ribosomal RNA
Source: RNAcentral
UGGGGAAUAUUGCACAAUGGAGGGAACUCUGAUGCAGCGACGCCGCGUGAGUGAUGAAGGAUUUCGUUUCGUAAAACUCUGUUCUAUGGGAAGAAAAGGACUGUACCAUAGGAGAAAGCUCCGGCUAAAUACGUGCCAGCAGCCGCGGUAAUACGUAUGGAGCGAGCGUUGUCCGGAAUUAUUGGGCGUAAAGGGUGCGCAGGCGGCUUUACAAGUUGGAUGUGAAAUAUUGUGGCUCAACCACAAACGUGCAUCCAAAACUGCAAAGCUUGAGUUAAGGAGAGGUAAGUGGAAAUCCUGGUGUAGCGGUGGAAUGCGUAGAUAUCAGGAGGAAUACCGGUGGCGAAGGCGACUUACUGGACUUAAACUGACGCUCAGGCACGAAAGCGUGGGGAGCAAACAGG